CCUACGGGAGGCAGCAGUGAGGAAUAUUGGUCAAUGGACGCAACUCUGAACCAGCCAAGUAGCGUGCAGGAUGACUGCCCUAUGGGUUGUAAACUUCUUUUAUACGGGAAUAAACUGAGGCACGUGUGCCUUUUUGCAUGUACCUCAUGAAUAAGGAUCGGCUAAUUCCGUGCCAGCAGCCGCGGUAAUACGGAAGAUCCGGGCGUUAUCCGGAUUUAUUGGGUUUAAAGGGAGCGCAGAUGGGGUGUUAAGCGAGUUGUGAAAUGUUGCGGCUCAACCGUAGAACUGCAAUUGAUACUGGCAGGCUUGAGUACAGUUGAGGUAGGCGGAAUUCGUGGUGUAGCGGUGAAAUGCUUAGAUAUCACGAAGAACUCCGAUUGCGAAGGCAGCCUACUAUAGUGCCACUGACAUUGAGGCUCGAAGGUGUGGGUAUCGAACAGGAUUAGAUACCCUAGUAGUC
Molecule: ribosomal RNA, 460 nt
Filed under: uncultured bacterium
Lineage: Bacteria
Description: partial 16S ribosomal RNA
Rfam family: Bacterial small subunit ribosomal RNA
Source: RNAcentral